CGAGUGGCGGAGGGGUGAGUAGUGUCUGGGGAUCUGCCCGAUAGAGGGGGAUAACCACUGGAAACGGUGGCUAAUACCGCAUAACGUCGCAAGACCAAAGAGGGGGACCUUCGGGCCUCUCACUAUCGGAUGAACCCAGAUGGGAUUAUCUAGUAGGCGGGGUAACGGCCCACCUAGGCGACGAUCCCUAGCUGGUCUGAGAGGAUGACCACCCACACUGGAACUGACACACGGUCCACACUCCUACGGGAGGCAGCAGUGGGGAAUAUUGCACAGUGGGCGCAAGCCUGAUGCACCCAUGCCGCGUGUAUGAAAAAGGCCUUCGGGUUGUAAAGUACUUUCAGCGGGGAGGAAGGCUAUGUGGUUAAUAACCGCAUUGAUUGACGUUACCCGCAAAAAAAGCACCGGCUAACUCCGUGCCAGCAGCCGCGGUAAUACAGAGGGUGCAAGCGUUAAUCAGAAUUACUGGGCGUAAAGCGCACGCACGCGGUCUGUUAAGUCAUAUGUGAAAUCCCCGGGCUUAACCUGGGAACUGCAUUUGAAACUGGCAGGCUUGACUCUCGUAGAGGGGGGUAGAAUUCCGGGUGUAGCGGUGAAAUGCGUAGAGAUCUGGAAGAAUACCGGUGGCGAACGCGGCCCCCUGGACGAACACUGACUCUCAUGUGCGAAAGCGUGGGGAGCAAACAAGAUUAUAUACCCUGGUAGUCCACGCCGUACACGAUGUCCACUUGGAUGUUGUUCCCUUGAAGAGUGGCUUCCAGAGCUAACGCGUUAACUCCACCGCCUGGAGAGUACGGCCGCAAGGUUAAAACUCAUAUGAAUUGACGGGCGCCCGCACAAGCGGUGGAGCAUGUGGUUUAUUUCUAUGCAACGCGAAGACCAUACCCUACU
This 891-nucleotide ribosomal RNA is filed under the name Pantoea ananatis. RNAcentral's name for it is "bacterial SSU rRNA". It matches the Rfam family "Bacterial small subunit ribosomal RNA", at positions 92 to 979 of the family's 1533-position model. Lineage: Bacteria; Pseudomonadati; Pseudomonadota; Gammaproteobacteria; Enterobacterales; Erwiniaceae. The record is from RNAcentral.